UUAUGUAUGUAAUAAAUAAAGAUCACUUUCAACAACGGAUCUCUUGGCUCUCGCAUCGAUGAAGAACGUAGCGAAGUGCGAUAAGUAAUGUGAAUUGCAGAAUUCCGUGAAUCAUCGAAUCUUUGAACGCAAAUUGCACUCUCUGGUAACC
This 151-nucleotide ribosomal RNA is filed under the name Glomus sp. CMCCROC10. Its description in RNAcentral is "5.8S ribosomal RNA". The stretch from base 24 to 151 matches the Rfam family "5.8S ribosomal RNA", at positions 1 to 128 of the family's 154-position model. From Rfam's summary of the family: 5.8S ribosomal RNA (5.8S rRNA) is a component of the large subunit of the eukaryotic ribosome. Lineage: Eukaryota; Fungi; Glomeromycota; Glomeromycetes; Glomerales; Glomeraceae. The record is from RNAcentral.